GAUGAACGCUGGCGGCGUGCCUAAUACAUGCAAGUCGAGCGAACAGAUAAGGAGCUUGCUCCUUUGACGUUAGCGGCGGACGGGUGAGUAACACGUGGGUAACCUACCUAUAAGACUGGAAUAACUCCGGGAAACCGGGGCUAAUGCCGGAUAAUAUUUAGAACCGCAUGGUUCUAAAGUGAAAGAUGGUUUUACUAUCACUUAUAGAUGGACCCGCGCCGUAUUAGCUAGUUGGUGGGGUAAUGGCUUACCAAGGCAACGAUACGUAGCCGACCUGAGAGGGUGAUCGGCCACACUGGAACUGAGACACGGUCCAGACUCCUACGGGAGGCAGCAGUAGGGAAUCUUCCGCAAUGGGCGAAAGCCUGACGGAGCAACGCCGCGUGAGUGAUGAAGGUCUUCGGGUCGUAAAACUCUGUUAUUAGGGAAGAACAAAUGUGUAAGUAACUGUGCACGUCUUGACGGUACCUAAUCAGAAAGCCACGGCUAACUACGUGCCAGCAGCCGCGGU
This 511-nucleotide ribosomal RNA is filed under the name uncultured bacterium. RNAcentral's name for it is "bacterial SSU rRNA". It matches the Rfam family "Bacterial small subunit ribosomal RNA", at positions 28 to 521 of the family's 1533-position model. The record is from RNAcentral.